CAGAUAAUAGUUUAAAUCAAAACACUAACUUUGGGAGUUAAUAUUCAGCUAACGUUGUUAUCUGA
This 65-nucleotide transfer RNA is filed under the name Phascolopsis gouldii. RNAcentral describes it as "tRNA-Pro". Lineage: Eukaryota; Metazoa; Annelida; Sipuncula; Golfingiida; Sipunculidae. The record is from RNAcentral.